RNAcentral lists this ribosomal RNA (451 nucleotides) under uncultured bacterium. RNAcentral's name for it is "partial 16S ribosomal RNA". It matches the Rfam family "Bacterial small subunit ribosomal RNA", at positions 29 to 523 of the family's 1533-position model. The record is from RNAcentral.
AGCGAACGCUGGCGGCAGGCUUAACACAUGCAAGUCGAGCGGCCGUAGCAAUACGGCAGCGGCAGACGGGAGAGUAACACGUGGGAACGUACCCUUCAGUACGGAACAACCAAGGGAAACUUUGGCUAAUACCGUAUACGUCCGUAAGGAGAAAGAUUUAUCGCUGAAGGGUCGGCCCGCGUCUGAUUAGCUAGUUGGUGAGGUAACGGCUCACCAAGGCGACGAUCAGUAGCUGGUCUGAGAGGAUGACCAGCCUCACUGGGACUGAGACACGGCCCAGACUCCUACGGGAGGCAGCAGUGGGGAAUAUUGGACAAUGGGCGCAAGCCUGAUCCAGCCAUGCCGCGUGGAUGAUGAAGGCCCUAGGGUUGUAAAGUCCUUUUAACGGGGAAGAUAAUGACGGUACCCGUAGAAUAAGCCCCGGCUAACUUCGUGCCAGCCGCCGCAGUAA